This 505-nucleotide ribosomal RNA is filed under the name uncultured Desulfobulbus sp. RNAcentral's name for it is "bacterial SSU rRNA". It matches the Rfam family "Bacterial small subunit ribosomal RNA", at positions 904 to 1382 of the family's 1533-position model. The record is from RNAcentral. Lineage: Bacteria; Pseudomonadati; Thermodesulfobacteriota; Desulfobulbia; Desulfobulbales; Desulfobulbaceae.
CCUUGCCAGCCCGCUCAGAACUCAAGGAAUUGACGGGGCCGCACAAGCGGUGGAGUAUGUGGUUUAAUUCGAUGCAACGCGAAGAACCUUACCUGGUCUUGACAUCCCGGAGACCCUUAGGAAACUAGGGGGUGCUUCCAUCUGGAAGAAUCUGGAGACAGGUGCUGCAUGGCUGUCGUCAGCUCGUGUCGUGAGAUGUUGGGUUAAGUCCCGCAACGAGCGCAACCCUUGCCUUUAGUUGCCAGCAGUUCGGCUGGGCACUCUAAAGGGACUGCCGGUGUUAAACCGGAGGAAGGUGGGGAUGACGUCAAGUCCUCAUGGCCUUUAUGACCAGGGCUACACACGUACUACAAUGGCCGAUACAAAGGGCAGCGACACUGCGAGGUGAAGCCAAUCCCGUAAAAUCGGUCUCAGUCCGGAUUGGAGUCUGCAACUCGACUCCAUGAAGUUGGAAUCGCUAGUAAUCGUGGAUCAGCAUGCCACGGUGAAUACGUUCCCGGGCCUU